CACGUAGGGGCCAAGCGUUGUCCGGAUUUAUUGGGCGUAAAGAGCUCGUAGGCGGUCUGUCGCGUCUGCUGUGAAAACUCGGGGCUUAACCCCGGGCCUGCAGUGGGUACGGGCAGACUAGAGUGCGGUAGGGGAGACUGGAAUUCCUGGUGUAGCGGUGAAAUGCGCAGAUAUCAGGAGGAACACCGGUGGCGAAGGCGGCCGACUGGACCACACCUGACGCUGAGGCGCGAAGGCCAGGGGAGCGAACAGG
RNAcentral lists this ribosomal RNA (253 nucleotides) under uncultured bacterium. Its description in RNAcentral is "partial 16S ribosomal RNA". It matches the Rfam family "Bacterial small subunit ribosomal RNA", at positions 524 to 776 of the family's 1533-position model. The record is from RNAcentral.